UCCUCAAUUGUGUUCCCAGAUGGUCAUCCAGCACAAACCAUCUGGCGCUCCAGGGUUGGUCAAAUGCUGGUUCAAACCUCUAAUCUACAGCCRAAACUCAAACUACACAGAGCUACUGCCAAGUACAAAAUGCACCCGGAUUUCAGAAAAACAGUAACCUACUGAUGAGCACGGUGGUGGCAGUGUGAUGCUCUGCUGUCCUGCUCUGGGCCCUCGGCGGUUUCCAGCAGCAGGUUGGACCAGGACGAUUCUCCGUCUCUAGCUGUGCUAAUCAUCAGCUGGUACUCUGGAGGCUGCAGCGAGGCGGGAAGCAGCAGGCUUCAGAACCAGGUGUCCUCAUUGUUGUCACCUGUCUGAGCCUGAGACUGUUAUUACUGUACGUACUGAUGUACGUGCAGGGCUGCUAAUUGAUGCUCAGAUUGUCACCCUGGCUUUAAUUAAACCUUCUUAAUUAAUCCCAA
Poecilia reticulata (guppy) is the source of this 461-nucleotide non-coding RNA. Lineage: Eukaryota; Metazoa; Chordata; Actinopteri; Cyprinodontiformes; Poeciliidae. The record is from RefSeq and is a predicted model, not a curated record.